UGGGGAAUAUUGCACAAUGGGCGAAAGCCUGAUGCAGCAACGCCGCGUGAGCGAUGAAGGCCUUCGGGUCGUAAAGCUCUGUCCUCAAAGAAGAUAAUGACGGUACUUGAGGAGGAAGCCCCGGCUAACUACGUGCCAGCAGCCGCGGUAAUACGUAGGGGGCAAGCGUUAUCCGGAUUUACUGGGUGUAAAGGGAGCGCAGACGGAAAUGCAAGUCUGAUGUGAAAGCCCGGGGCUCAACCGCGGGACUGCAUCGGAUACUGUAUAUCUGGAGUGCCGGAGGGGCAAGCGGAAUUCCUGGUGUAGCGGUGAAAUGCGUAGAUAUCAGGAGGAACACCGGCGGCGAAGGCGGCUUGCUGGACGGCAACUGACGUUGAGGCUCGAAAGCGUGGGGAGCAAACAGG
RNAcentral lists this ribosomal RNA (404 nucleotides) under uncultured prokaryote. Its description in RNAcentral is "bacterial SSU rRNA". It matches the Rfam family "Bacterial small subunit ribosomal RNA", at positions 355 to 776 of the family's 1533-position model. The record is from RNAcentral.